Molecule: ribosomal RNA, 166 nt
Filed under: Triticum aestivum (bread wheat)
Lineage: Eukaryota; Viridiplantae; Streptophyta; Magnoliopsida; Poales; Poaceae
Description: rRNA LSU_rRNA_eukarya
Rfam family: Bacterial large subunit ribosomal RNA
Source: RNAcentral
CAACUAAGGCCCCUAAAUGACCGCUCAGUGAUAAAGGAGGUGGGGGUGCAAAGACAGCCAGGAGGUUUGCCUAGAAGCAGCCACCCUUUAAAGAGUGCGUAAUAGCUCACUGAUCGAGCGUCCUUGCGCUGAAGAUGAACGGGGCUAAGCGAUCUGCCGCAAGUUG